GACGAACGCUGGCGGCGUGCCUAAUACAUGCAAGUCGAGCGCAGGAAGUCAUCCGAACCCUUCGGGGGGACGUUGACGGAAUGAGCGGCGGACGGGUGAGAAACACGUAAAGAACCUGCCCUCAGGUCUGGGAUAACCACGAGAAAUCGGGGCUAAUACCGGAUGGGUCAUCGGACCGCAUGGCCCGAGGAUGAAAGGCGCUCCGGCGUCGCCUGGGGAUGGCUUUGCGGUGCAUUAGCUAGUUGGUGGGGUAAUGGCCCACCAAGGCGACGAUGCAUAGCCGACCUGAGAGGGUGGUCGGCCACACUGGGACUGAGACACGGCCCAGACUCCUACGGGAGGCAGCAGUAGGGAAUCUUCCACCAUGGACGAAAGUCUGAUGGAGCAACGCCGCGUGAACGAUGAAGGCCCUCGGGUCGUAAAGUUCUGUUGUAAGGGAAGAACAAGUGCCGCAGGCAAUGGCGGCACCUUGACGGUACCUUGCGAGAAAGCCACGGCUAACUACGUG
This 508-nucleotide ribosomal RNA is filed under the name uncultured bacterium. Its description in RNAcentral is "partial 16S ribosomal RNA". It matches the Rfam family "Bacterial small subunit ribosomal RNA", at positions 28 to 507 of the family's 1533-position model. The record is from RNAcentral.